GAACGCUGGCGGCGUGCCUAAUACAUGCAAGUCGAACGCUUCUUUCCUCCCGAGUGCUUGCACUCAAUUGGAAAGAGGAGUGGCGGACGGGUGAGUAACACGUGGGUAACCUACCCAUCAGAGGGGGAUAACACUUGGAAACAGGUGCUAAUACCGCAUAACAGUUUAUGCCGCAUGGCAUAAGAGUGAAAGGCGCUUUCGGGUGUCGCUGAUGGAUGGACCCGCGGUGCAUUAGCUAGUUGGUGAGGUAACGGCUCACCAAGGCCACGAUGCAUAGCCGACCUGAGAGGGUGAUCGGCCACACUGGGACUGAGACACGGCCCAGACUCCUACGGGAGGCAGCAGUAGGGAAUCUUCGGCAAUGGACGAAAGUCUGACCGAGCAACGCCGCGUGAGUGAAGAAGGUUUUCGGAUCGUAAAACUCUGUUGUUAGAGAAGAACAAGGACGUUAGUAACUGAACGUCCCCUGACGGUAUCUAACCAGAAAGCCACGGCUAACUACGUG
This 505-nucleotide ribosomal RNA is filed under the name uncultured bacterium. Its description in RNAcentral is "partial 16S ribosomal RNA". It matches the Rfam family "Bacterial small subunit ribosomal RNA", at positions 31 to 507 of the family's 1533-position model. The record is from RNAcentral.